This 72-nucleotide transfer RNA is filed under the name Schistosoma mansoni. The record is from RNAcentral. Lineage: Eukaryota; Metazoa; Platyhelminthes; Trematoda; Strigeidida; Schistosomatidae.
GGGUUCGUGGAUGCGCACUGCUGAGGAGUCUCGUAAUGGGACGAAACGGCCGUCCAGUGUUUCCAGGUUUUC